This 510-nucleotide unclassified non-coding RNA is filed under the name Hevea brasiliensis (rubber tree). The record is from RNAcentral. Lineage: Eukaryota; Viridiplantae; Streptophyta; Magnoliopsida; Malpighiales; Euphorbiaceae.
CUAGUAUGCAGAGCAUCCACAACGCCAUCAAAACUCUCAAACCUGCCACUCACAACAUCAACAUCCACGCUCAGCCUCUCAGCACCAGCUGCCGUGACUGGCCCAUGUGCCGCCACCACCAAAUCCGGCCACCGCCGCCUCACCGUCCUCCAAUCCCCCCCAAACUCACUCAAGCUCUUCAACAACCCUUCCACUUCCGCACUACUCGUGAACACCACUGCGUCUAAUCCAUUUCCUUCCUUUUCACUCUUUUCCACUAUUCCCUACGCACAGGUAGNNNNNNAGUCUCGUAAGCAUCCACCCUAACAGGAGCCCACCCCGCUGCCUGCAGAUCCCGGAGAAAGUUUGGAACCACCGGAGGCUCCUCCAGUCCGACUACCUGCGGAACUAGACACAUCACCCCCCGACCGCGUCCAGCCCCCAGCGAUUGCACCAGCCCACUCGGCGUCGCCGUUGGAGGAACUACAACCCUAAUCCUAUCGAUAUUAGAACAAAUAUUAAGCAAAAAUU